UACGUAGGGGGCUAGCGUUGUCCGGAAUCAUUGGGCGUAAAGCGCGUGUAGGCGGCUCGAUAAGUCUGCUGUGAAAGUCCAGGGCUCAACCCUGGGAUGCCGGUGGAUACUGUCGAGCUCGAGUCCGGAAGAGGCGAGUGGAAUUCCUGGUGUAGCGGUGAAAUGCGCAGAUAUCAGGAGGAACACCAAUGGCGAAGGCAGCUCGCUGGGACGUGACUGACGCUGAGACGCGAAAGCGUGGGGAGCAAACAGG
Molecule: ribosomal RNA, 253 nt
Filed under: uncultured bacterium
Lineage: Bacteria
Description: partial 16S ribosomal RNA
Rfam family: Bacterial small subunit ribosomal RNA
Source: RNAcentral